RNAcentral lists this long non-coding RNA (844 nucleotides) under Androctonus crassicauda. Lineage: Eukaryota; Metazoa; Arthropoda; Arachnida; Scorpiones; Buthidae. The record is from RNAcentral.
CGUGUUUUAUAAAAAAUUAAACAGAGGUGAAUUAACUUUAUUCGACACAAAUACGGUAUAUACCCACGCAGUCAGGAAAUAAUAUUUAAAUUUUUCGAUAAAAUAGGUUAAAGAAAAAAUGAGUCGAAGAUAGAUUGAUUAAGUGGACGCAAAUUGCGAUAGAAAGUCCCCUAAAACGUUUUGCUAACCGGCAUCUGGAUAUAAUAAAUAACCGCACGCAUUUAUAAUUGCCCUAUACUCAACCAAUAGAUUUUGAAAAUGCGUAACGACGCGAUAAAACGUCACACUUUUAUCUCAGGUCAGUUUCAAUUGGUCUUGCGUCACUUGAUGGAUACCAGUUAUAAAUUCGGAGUUAGGUUAAAGAAAAUAAUAAAAAUUGAGAAAGAAAAAUUGUUUUUAUGGUAGAGAGGAAAACUUCUAUCUCCGGUUUUCAAGGUCGACCGCGUAAGAAAAUCGACCAAUGAUGUGUUUUUGGUGUAGGAAGGGGAGAAAAAACUUGACGUAACUAUACCUCACCUUAUUCUCAUAAAGGUUUGUUUAGCGAAAGGUACGCAAAGAUUUAGUGGAUUUCGGUUCUAUUUUAGAAAAGAAGCAGGAACUAAAACAUUUUUGGGAGAGAAAAAUGAUGGAAGUUGUAGCACCAAAUAUGGAAGAAACAAGGCUUCCACCUGUUGUCGUUAAUGGUCACUGUAAACUGAAACAAAAUGGAGUUAUUAAAUGCCAAGAAACAGGAAUGAUUGAACCAGAAAUGUACAGAAGACCUUCGCCUGAAGGGGAAGAAAGCACUGUUCUUUCUGAAACCGUUGAAAAACCAUCUUUAGAAAAUCAUAUUUCAUCGCCUCAA